UGGCGGACGGGUGAGUAAUGUCUGGGAAACUGCCUGAUGGAGGGGGAUAACUACUGGAAACGGUAGCUAAUACCGCAUAACGUCGCAAGACCAAAGAGGGGGACCUUCGGGCUUCUUGCCAUCGGAUGUGCCCAGAUGGGAUUAGCUAGUAGUGGGGUAACGGCUCACCUAGGCGACGAUCCCUAGCUGGUCUGAGAGGAUGGCCAGCCACACUGGAACUGAGACACGGUCCAGACUCCUACGGGAGGCAGCAUG
This 255-nucleotide ribosomal RNA is filed under the name uncultured bacterium. RNAcentral's name for it is "partial 16S ribosomal RNA". It matches the Rfam family "Bacterial small subunit ribosomal RNA", at positions 96 to 353 of the family's 1533-position model. The record is from RNAcentral.